Molecule: long non-coding RNA, 2081 nt
Filed under: Ananas comosus (pineapple)
Lineage: Eukaryota; Viridiplantae; Streptophyta; Magnoliopsida; Poales; Bromeliaceae
Description: long non-coding RNA (ACOM_LNC004494)
Source: RNAcentral
AAAAUUUUUUACAAAUUUUGAAAAUAAAAAAUAUAAGUUUUUUUUCAUUAUUUUUUUAAUAAAAAACUAAAAUUCAAGCUGCGUAAAAUUUUUUUCGUUCAUUUUUUUUACCGAAUCAAACAAAUAUAUAUAUAUAUUUUUUCCUUUCAACUAAAAAAUUGUUUUUUUUCUUACAAAUCAAAUAAUCAUAAAACUUAUUUUUUUCCACGAAAUUUUUUAUGAACAAAUUUUAUUUUUUACAAUUUUAAACGGAUCCGAAGUUUCGUUAGUGCACAGUUCUUGAGUCUUGACAACAGGCAAGUGGAAGUUGCAGUUGCGAGCUUCUACCUUUUCGAAGCCGAGCUUGCGGCUUCGUCUCAUAGUCUGUACAAAAGGCAAUCUUUACGACACUAAGGCUGUGUUUGGUACCGGCGAUAUUUUGGAACAACACGGGAUAUCCUUCAAGUUGUAAUCAAACAGUAGAAAAACACGAAGGAACGGAUUGUUCCGGUCAAAGCGGAUUGUUCUGGAUUGUUCUGAAACAACCCGUUAAAAAUCAUUCCUAGGAGAACUGAUCUGAAGUUUCGUUAGUGCACAGUUCUUGAGUCUUGACAACAGGCAAGUGGAAGUUGCAGUUGCGAGCUUCUACCUUUUCGAAGCUUGCGGCUUCGUCUCAUAGUCUGUACAAAAGGCAAUCUUUACGACACUACGGCUGUGUUUGGUAUCGGUGAUAUUUUGGAACAACACGGGAUAUCCUUCAAGUUGUAAUCAAACGGUAGAAAAACAUGAAGGAACGGAUUGUUCCGGUCAAAGCGGAUUGUUCUGAAUUGUUCUGAAACAAUCCGUUAAAAAUCAUUCAUAGGAGAACUGAUCCGAAGUUUCGUUAGUGCACAGUUCUUGAAUCUUGACAACAGGCAAGUGGAAGUUGUAGUUGCGAGCUUCUACCUUUUCGAAGCUUGCGGCUUCGUCUCAUAGUCUCUACAAAAGGCAAUCUUUAUGACACUAAGGCUGUGUUUGGUACCGGCGAUAUUUUGGAACGACACGGGAUAUCCUUCAAGUUGUAAUCAAAUGGUAGAAAAACACGAAGGAACGAAUUGUUCCAGUCAAAGCGGAUUGUUCUGGAUUGUUCUGAAACAACGCGUUAAAAAUCAUUCAUAGGAGAACUGAUAACAACUUUAUUCUCCUCUUUAUUUUAUUAAAUAAAUAAAUAUAUAAAUAAAUAUAUUAAUAUAAAUAUUAUUUUUAUGAUAAUAAUAUUUAUACUUAAAUUUUAUUAUAUAAUAUAAAUUAAUUAAAUUUGAUAUAUUAUUUAGUUUAUUAAAUUUAUUAUUUAUAUAUUAAUAUUUAAUUAUUUAUUUUAUAUUAAGUAUUAUGAAUUGAGCUCCUAUGCUUUUAAAAGUACUAAGUUAUUUGUACUUGUAGAUUUUUAGCCAUUGGAUUAAGAGAUAUGCGGUUAGGAUGAUGUGGGCCCCCAAGGGUUUAGUUGGUGGUUGGUUGAAUAGUAUAAUCUAAUGGUUGAAAAUGAUUCGAGGAGUAGAUCUAACGGUAAGAAACUUACAAGCACCAAGUGCUUUGUGCUUUUAAAAGCACCAUAGCUGGACUCUAAGUAUUAUAUAUAUAUAUAAUUAUUUUUACAUGCAUUAUAUAUAUAUUUUAAUUUGUAUUGAAAUUUAUACUAUUAUUAAUUGAAAUUAUAAUGAUAUUGUUACAUAUANUUUUUUUCGUUCAUUUUUUUUACCGAAUCAAACAAAUAUAAAUAUAGUUUCCUUUCAACUAAAAAUUUGUUUUUUUCUUACAAAUCAAAUACUUUAAAUCAUAAAACUUAAUUUUUUCCACGAAAUUUUUUUAUGAACAAAUUUUAUUUUUUACAAUUUUAAACGGAUCCGAAGUUUCGUAAGUGCACAGUUCUUGAGUCUUCCCCGCGCGGCGCUCAAGUGUCGCACACCCGAGCCAGCCUUCUCGAGUCCUCUUCAUGGACAAGUCUUCCAAACUUAACAACGGAAUACCAAUCCAAGCAUUUUACCAAGCUUGCUCCUCCGCGAGACUUACAGCCCGACCCUUCGCCUGUAAUCAAACCCCUCGUCGGACUCCUCGAGUUCCCA